ACAAGUACCGUGAGGGAAAGUUGCAAAGCACUUUGAAGAGAGAGUUAAAGAGGACGUGAAACCGGUAAGGUGGAAACGGAUAGAGUCGGCGUAUCAUUCAUGUAUUCAGUUAUAUUAUUUUUAUGUUGUGACCUCUGAGCUCCAGAUUGGGACAGAGGGAAUCAGCAUAAUUUUUUGUGGUGCUUUUACUUGAUUGGUGCUUGGGGAUGUUUGAGGCAGAUUUGUUUCCGUCGUUUUGAGGCCAGCUUGCUGGUACCCAAACGGUGUUAGCAUUUUUUGUCUUGGGCAUUUGAGUAUGGCUCACGUGUAUUUAUUGGACAGAUCUGAGUGUAAGUUACGGUCGCAUGCGACACGUGCUUUUCAAUUAGUUCGGUCCAGUUAAUGCUCUCGUAGACGUUCCCCAUGUAAAAGCCGGUCAUCUAUCCGACCCGUCUUGAAACACGGACCAAGGAGUUUAUCGUGUGCGCAAGUUUUUGGGUGUUAAAAACUUAAAAGCGAAAUGAAAGUAAAUGACUCUUUAGAGUCUGAUGUGCGAUCUUGUAAAAAAGUGUAGCAUGGCCCCAUUCUAACUGUUUACAGUAGGGUGGCGGAAGAGCGUACGCGGUGAGACCCGAAAGAUGGUGAACUAUUCCUGAGCAGGACGAAGCCAGAGGAAACUCUGGUGGAAGUCCGAAGCGGUUCUGACGUGCAAAUCGAUCGUCUGACUUGGGUAUAGGGGGCGAAAGACUAAUCGAACCAUCUAGUAGCUGGUUCCUUCCGA
Molecule: ribosomal RNA, 760 nt
Filed under: Meloidogyne paranaensis
Lineage: Eukaryota; Metazoa; Nematoda; Chromadorea; Rhabditida; Meloidogynidae
Description: eukaryotic LSU rRNA
Rfam family: Eukaryotic large subunit ribosomal RNA
Source: RNAcentral